Egretta garzetta (little egret) is the source of this 574-nucleotide long non-coding RNA. RefSeq lists it as uncharacterized. The transcript is spliced from 4 exons. The record is from RefSeq and is a predicted model, not a curated record. NCBI's taxonomy places the organism in Eukaryota, Metazoa, Chordata, Aves, Pelecaniformes, Ardeidae.
GAAUGGACUGACACUAAAAAUGCUGAAGGAUUGCCUUCCUGAACAUAGGAGUCAUGAAAUGCCACCGUGUGUGAAGUGCCGACACAAUGGGAAGGAGAGAUCCGGAAUCCUAGAGGGCAGAAAAUGAAGGCUGUGGCCAGCUCGCCAAGAGUGUGUGCAGAUGGAUUUGCAUGUAAAGAAUUAAUUUGGGCUUGCAGGCUCCUGGAGGGCUCUAACUCCAUGCGCACCUCCCCGGGCAAAUCACCCAGCCCUGAGCUGGCAUCAUCUCGCAGCUCGGCCAUGAAGGAGCAGCAGCUUAUGGACUUGAGAUUGUGGUGUGCAAGAUAAUAUUUUCCAAAUGCCUCUAAGAUGAGUUCAGCCCAUGGGAAUGAGAUGCUCAUAACUGUCACUCAGACGUGCUCAGGCAGAUGAUGAAGCCGAGUUAACUUGUUGCAUUCUUGUGAACGUUGUCCAAAGCCAAGGAGAUCACCUUGUACUCCGAGAUAUUCACCGUGAAGAAAUGUUCCUUCGCUGUUGCUGGAACUACUCAAAAAUGUCUACUACAGUGCUUGAGACUGGGGGCUGUGCCAUUAAA